CAAAGAGGACCACGCGAACUUAACCACUACACCACCAGGCUGGCCCUAGGCCUCUCUUUUUACCACAGUGUUUUGAACAGGUGCAGCGCCCGGCAGCCCCUGACUGGCUUUGGUCCUGUGCGUGUAGACCUGAAAGCUCUCCUCAGCGUUGUCAGUGGAAAACCUGGGGGCGGCGCGCAGCGUGAGACCGUGGCCAGUCGCAGUCCAUCGCUGGUGUCUCAGAUCACUCUGACAACCGGUCAGGACGAUGGAAAUUGUCAUCAUGAUUAUUUGGCAUAGUAGACUGGCUGGUUAAGUAAAAAAUGAUCAAUUCAAUAUGUUAUAUGUUUUAUAAUACACCAUGAUGCAUAUAGUACUGUGUCAGAUUCUGUGGAAUACAGGAUAAAGUAAAGUAUGGUGGAAACCAAACCAAAAAAUAACAACAGGAUAUGAUUUGGGCCCCAAAAAUGGAAGGAGAAAGACUAGAGGAUUGAUGAUAGAGAAUGGCAUUUACUAUUUCCUAGUAUUUUAACAUAUACAAUGGUAAGGAUUCACCUGACCAGUUCUUUUUAUUUUUAAUUCCAUGAAAGAUACUAAUGCUAUUAUCGCAGUCAUAAUAAUAAUAAUAGCCAAAUGCAUUCAGUGUUCUCUGUGUACCAGGCAUUGCACUAGACUCUUUGCAUGCGUGGCCUCAUUAAUGCCCUCCCAACAACGCUUUGAGACUGGCAUUAUCCUUCUCACUUUAGGGAUGAGGGAACUGAGCCUUGGAGAAAAGAACUCACUUAAUGCCACACACCAGGAAGCGGGAUUGCUGCCGUUGGAACCCAAAUCUGACACCAAAUCUGACUUUCUUUUCCCUGGACCAUACCAACAGCGAGGAGACGCUAAGGACAUUGGAACUGCUAGGUGUUUGCCAUUUGUUCCAACCUUCGCUCUCUAAGGUUAUGGGAAGAAAUAAUAUUUCUGGGCUGAGAUGGAAAGCGGGACCUGACUUAGUCGGUGAAAGGCUGUGAGUGGCAGGAAGAGGCAUUCCAAGAAGGCCUGGCUGUGUUUUUCCUCUUGGAAAAGCUGAAAACUACAAAUCAAUAGUUCCAAGGUAUCUGGAAUAUGUCAAAGACCAGUCGAUAUGAAUCAACCGACAAGAGUGAUAUUGAAUUCGACCAUGAGGUUGUGUCAGAGAAAAGGCCCCAAAGGUCUACAUUCCAGGCUGAAAGGCCAGGAUAAUAUGCAACUAAUUGAGGCACUAGAGGGACCUUCCUCUCAACAAAUGGAUCUCCUGAGUCUUCAGCAGGAACUUCGUCCGGAAGAAAUGAAGAUGCAGGAAGAUACUGUGCUAGUUGCCCUGCAAAUGCCAGCAUUGUCCUUGCCCCGGCCCUCACCCCGUCAUAACAGGUGAGGAUCCUGCCUUCCUUACAUUUCCCAGGCAAGAUGCUCACAGGAGAACAUUUGAAACUGUCUUACAUUCUCCUGCAAAAGGAACUCGGUGGCCACGUUCCCUGGA
RNAcentral lists this long non-coding RNA (1480 nucleotides) under Equus caballus (horse). RNAcentral describes it as "lncRNA (ENSECAG00000044860.1)". The record is from RNAcentral. Lineage: Eukaryota; Metazoa; Chordata; Mammalia; Perissodactyla; Equidae.